CCUACGGGUGGCAGCAGUGGGGAAUAUUGGACAAUGGGCGAAAGCCUGAUCCAGCCAUGCCGCGUGUGUGAAGAGGGCCUUCGGGUUGUAAAGCACUUUCAGUGGGGAAGAAAGCCUUGGGGCUAAUACCCUCGAGGAAGGACAUCACCCACAGAAGAAGCACCGGCUAACUCCGUGCCAGCAGCCGCGGUAAUACGGAGGGUGCGAGCGUUAAUCGGAAUUACUGGGCGUAAAGCGCGCGUAGGCGGUCUGAUAAGCCGGUUGUGAAAGCCCCGGGCUCAACCUGGGAACGGCAUCCGGAACUGUCAGGCUAGAGUGCAGGAGAGGAAGGUAGAAUUCCCGGUGUAGCGGUGAAAUGCGUAGAGAUCGGGAGGAAUACCAGUGGCGAAGGCGGCCUUCUGGACUGACACUGACGCUGAGGUGCGAAAGCGUGGGUAGCAAACAGGAUUAGAUACCCCGGUAGUC
Molecule: ribosomal RNA, 465 nt
Filed under: Vreelandella stevensii
Lineage: Bacteria; Pseudomonadati; Pseudomonadota; Gammaproteobacteria; Oceanospirillales; Halomonadaceae
Description: partial 16S ribosomal RNA
Rfam family: Bacterial small subunit ribosomal RNA
Source: RNAcentral